RNAcentral lists this ribosomal RNA (691 nucleotides) under Klebsiella pneumoniae. Its description in RNAcentral is "partial 23S ribosomal RNA". It matches the Rfam family "Bacterial large subunit ribosomal RNA", at positions 2240 to 2925 of the family's 2925-position model. The record is from RNAcentral. RNAcentral also lists the same sequence under 8 other names. Lineage: Bacteria; Pseudomonadati; Pseudomonadota; Gammaproteobacteria; Enterobacterales; Enterobacteriaceae.
CGGGGUUGCGGACAGUGUCUGGUGGGUAGUUUGACUGGGGCGGUCUCCUCCCAAAGCGUAACGGAGGAGCACGAAGGUUAGCUAAUCCUGGUCGGACAUCAGGAGGUUAGUGCAAUGGCAUAAGCUAGCUUGACUGCGAGCGUGACGGCGCGAGCAGGUGCGAAAGCAGGUCAUAGUGAUCCGGUGGUUCUGAAUGGAAGGGCCAUCGCUCAACGGAUAAAAGGUACUCCGGGGAUAACAGGCUGAUACCGCCCAAGAGUUCAUAUCGACGGCGGUGUUUGGCACCUCGAUGUCGGCUCAUCACAUCCUGGGGCUGAAGUAGGUCCCAAGGGUAUGGCUGUUCGCCAUUUAAAGUGGUACGCGAGCUGGGUUUAGAACGUCGUGAGACAGUUCGGUCCCUAUCUGCCGUGGGCGCUGGAGAAUUGAGGGGGGCUGCUCCUAGUACGAGAGGACCGGAGUGGACGCAUCACUGGUGUUCGGGUUGUCAUGCCAAUGGCACUGCCCGGUAGCUAAAUGCGGAAGAGAUAAGUGCUGAAAGCAUCUAAGCACGAAACUUGCCCCGAGAUGAGUUCUCCCUGAGACUAUAAGUCUCCUGAAGGAACGUUGAAGACGACGACGUUGAUAGGCCGGGUGUGUAAGCGCAGCGAUGCGUUGAGCUAACCGGUACUAAUGAACCGUGAGGCUUAACCUU